RNAcentral lists this ribosomal RNA (440 nucleotides) under uncultured bacterium. RNAcentral's name for it is "partial 16S ribosomal RNA". It matches the Rfam family "Bacterial small subunit ribosomal RNA", at positions 338 to 795 of the family's 1533-position model. The record is from RNAcentral.
CCUACGGGAGGCUGCAGUGGGGAAUAUUGCACAAUGGGGGGAACCCUGAUGCAGCGACGCAGCGUGAGUGAAGAAGUAUUUCGGUAUGUAAAGCUCUAUCAGCAGGGAAGAAGAUGACGGUACCUGACUAAGAAGACCCGGCUAACUACGGGCCAGCAGCCGCGGUAAUACGUAGGGGGCAAGCGUUAUCCGGAUGUACUGGGGGUAAAGGGAGCGUAGACGGGAGGGCCAGGCUGGAGGGAAAGCCCGGGGUCCAACCCCGGGACUGCUUUGGAAACUGCCAUGCUAGAGUGCUGGAGAGGUAAGCGGAAGUCCUGGUGUAGCGGUGAAAUGCGUAGAUAUUAGGAAGAACACCAGUGGCGAAGGCGGCUUACUGGACAGUAACUGACGUUGAGGCUCGAAAGCGUGGGGAGCAAACAGGAUUAGAUACCCGAGUAGUC